UGGGGAAUUUUGGACAAUGGACGCAAGUCUGAUCCAGCCAUGCCGCGUGCGGGAAGAAGGCCUUCGGGUUGUAAACCGCUUUUGUCAGGGAAGAAACGAGUUUCUCUAAUACAGAGACUUAAUGACGGUACCUGAAGAAUAAGCACCGGCUAACUACGUGCCAGCAGCCGCGGUAAUACGUAGGGUGCAAGCGUUAAUCGGAAUUACUGGGCGUAAAGCGUGCGCAGGCGGUUAUGCAAGACAGAUGUGAGAUCCCCGGGCUCAACCUGGGACCUGCAUUUGUGACUGCAUAGCUAGAGUACGGCAGAGGGGGAUGGAAUUCCGCGUGUAGCAGUGAAAUGCGUAGAUAUGCGGAGGAACACCGAUGGCGAAGGCAAUCCCCUGGGCCUGUACUGACGCUCAUGCACGAAAGCGUGGGGAGCAAACA
RNAcentral lists this ribosomal RNA (427 nucleotides) under uncultured bacterium. RNAcentral describes it as "bacterial SSU rRNA". It matches the Rfam family "Bacterial small subunit ribosomal RNA", at positions 355 to 774 of the family's 1533-position model. The record is from RNAcentral.